This 249-nucleotide ribosomal RNA is filed under the name uncultured bacterium. RNAcentral describes it as "partial 16S ribosomal RNA". It matches the Rfam family "Bacterial small subunit ribosomal RNA", at positions 57 to 305 of the family's 1533-position model. The record is from RNAcentral.
GCAAGUCGAGGGGUAACAUGAGUGCUUGCACUUGAUGACGACCGGCGCACGGGUGCGUAACGCCUAUACAAUCUGCCUUACACUGGGGGAUAGCCUUUGGAAACGAAGAUUAAUACCCCAUAGUAUCUAUGAGUGGCUUCACUUUUAGAUUAAAGGUUACGGUGUAAGAUGAGUAUGCGUCCUAUUAGUUAGUUGGUGUGGUAACGGCACACCAAGACUACGAUAGGUAGGGGCCCUGAGAGGGGGAUC